Molecule: ribosomal RNA, 253 nt
Filed under: uncultured bacterium
Lineage: Bacteria
Description: partial 16S ribosomal RNA
Rfam family: Bacterial small subunit ribosomal RNA
Source: RNAcentral
UACGGAGGGUGCGAGCGUUGUCCGGAAUCACUGGGCGUAAAGGGCGCGUAGGCGGCGCGGGAAGUCCAUGGUGAAAGCCCGAGGCUCAACUUCGGGUCGGCCAAGGAUACUCCCGGGCUCGAGCACUGUAGAGGCAGGUGGAAUUCCGGGUGUAGCGGUGGAAUGCGUAGAGAUCCGGAAGAACACCGGUGGCGAAGGCGGUCUGCUGGGGUGAGGCUGACGCUGAUGCGCGACAGCGUGGGGAGCAAACAGG